Molecule: ribosomal RNA, 509 nt
Filed under: uncultured bacterium
Lineage: Bacteria
Description: bacterial SSU rRNA
Rfam family: Bacterial small subunit ribosomal RNA
Source: RNAcentral
AGAGUUUGAUUAUGGCUCAGGAUGAACGCUGGCGGCGUGCUUAACACAUGCAAGUCGAGCGAAGCGAUUCAAAUGAAGUUUCGGAUGGAUUUGAAUUGACUUAGCGGCGGACGGGUGAGUAACGCGUGGGUAACCUGCCUCAUACAGGGGGAUAACAGUUGGAAACGGCUGCUAAUACCGCAUAAGCACACAGUGCCGCAUGGUACGGUGUGAAAAACUCCGGUGGUAUGAGAUGGACCCGCGUCUGAUUAGGUAGUUGGUGAGGUAACGGCCCACCAAGCCGACGAUCAGUAGCCGACCUGAGAGGGUGACCGGCCACAUUGGGACUGAGACACGGCCCAAACUCCUACGGGAGGCAGCAGUGGGGAAUAUUGGACAAUGGGGGAAACCCUGAUCCAGCCGACGCCGCGUGAGUGAAGAAGUAUUUCGGUAUGUAAAGCUCCAUCAGCAGGGAAGAAAAUGACGGUACCUGACUAAGAAGCCCCGGCUAACUACGUGCCAGCAGCAGC